CCUGUGGACAUGACACAUCAUAAACACACCAAAGAGCCUUAAAAUCCUCAUUAACUUUAUUAUGCAUAAGAAGAUGCAGGCUAAAUAAACAUAGCACAGUUGCAGUUUCAAUCAGUCAAGACAUUAUUGUUUGAUCUGCUACACAUUAUUUUGAUUGUGUGCUGCUUCAAGACAGUCUUUGUGAUUUUGGCUGAGGCACUUGAUAACAUGCAGUUAUGGUUAUAAUUCUCUGCAGAUAAAUGCGGUAAUUGAUAUGGCUCAAGACAACAGAGGAGCAAAGGAAGUGGACUUUAAGUAGCAGCCAAAGGCAGUCACAUUUAAGAAUAAAGGGAAUUCCUCUAAACCUCAGCUAAAUGGCUUGAUCUGGAGUUGAGUAUCCUAAACAGGCAUGUGCCGAUAAUACAUUUUCAAAAUUUUCUCACCGUUUAUGACAUUAACACAGUAUAUUAAAAAUGACAAUGUUUACCAGUACUUUUUCUCAUUGAGUAGCAUUUGAAUCAAAAAGCCACUUCAUAGCUACUGAUUGUUUUUUUUGUUUUUUUUUAUUGUAAUGCCUUCAAGAAGAAAGAUAUGGUGCUACCUUCAAAGGCUUCUUUCCCAAUGCGACAGACAACCUAAAAGUACUGUCUGCCCAGGCGGCCUCCUCCUAAAUGGAAGAGUAAUGAUGUUGUGCAUGUUGAUUAUUAUGAUAUGUUGUAUAACUUAUUAUCGGCACAAACCUCAUCCUCAUCCUGAAUUGCAUUCAAGCUAGCGUACUUAUUUUUGUCGCUUAACUGUAAACAGAUAUAAAUAACACUCAUUUCAAUGUUGAAUGGUCCUUAUGCGCAGCUUUGUAAACAUGCCUCCAAGCCAGGCUUCAUUUCACUGAACAUUACAUUAUACAUUAUUAUAUAUUACAUUCGCACACCCCAUCCAUCAUGAUUAUUAGAAAAAUGUACAAAACCUAAAAGGUUCCCCCAAAAAUAUAACUCACCAUUCUCAAAUUCAUUCAAUGAUUAUUAUCUUAGUGUAUUUGAUAUGUUGCUCUGGGAACAGUUCUGUGCAGUGUUGGGUUGUUCUGCCCGGUCCCAGUGUUGUAGGUAGUUUCAAAGCUUGUAGAGACUCUAGUUGGUGUGCUUCAGUAUUGGAGUAAGUCCAUGUAACUUGACCUUGCAUCCUGGACACAGGUUUACCUGCAAGUCAUGCUAGUCGUCUAGAUGCUGCUCCUCCCAGGUGGACGUGGGGAUGGCGCUGUAUGGGUCCAUGAUGACUUUGGCACAGCGGAUAAUCAUGGCCACCAGCAGCAGGCAGAGGAAAGCAAUGCAUGCCAGAGUCAAGCCCUGGUCCACAUCCACGAACGCGGGGUCUGG
This is a long non-coding RNA of Ictalurus punctatus (channel catfish), 1349 nucleotides long. The record is from Ensembl. Lineage: Eukaryota; Metazoa; Chordata; Actinopteri; Siluriformes; Ictaluridae.